RNAcentral lists this ribosomal RNA (253 nucleotides) under uncultured bacterium. RNAcentral describes it as "partial 16S ribosomal RNA". It matches the Rfam family "Bacterial small subunit ribosomal RNA", at positions 524 to 776 of the family's 1533-position model. The record is from RNAcentral.
UACGUAGGGUGCGAGCGUUAAUCGGAAUUACUGGGCGUAAAGCGUGCGCAGGCGGUUUUGUAAGCCGGAUGUGAAAUCCCCGGGCUUAACCUGGGAAUGGCAUUCGGGACUGCAAGGCUGGAGUGCGGCAGAGGAGACUGGAAUUCCUGGUGUAGCAGUGAAAUGCGUAGAUAUCAGGAGGAACACCGAUGGCGAAGGCAGGUCUCUGGGCCACUACUGACGCUGAGAAGCGAAAGCAUGGGGAGCGAACAGG